This 369-nucleotide long non-coding RNA is filed under the name Oryzias javanicus (javanese ricefish). RNAcentral's name for it is "lncRNA (ENSOJAG00000007201.1)". Lineage: Eukaryota; Metazoa; Chordata; Actinopteri; Beloniformes; Adrianichthyidae. The record is from RNAcentral.
UUCUGGUUGGUAGGGCGACAGAGGGCUGCCGGGGCCCGUCGGGCGUCCUGGACUGAAAGGUGAAGGCUUCUCCGGGCCUCCAGUGAGUACACAAAAACACAGAAUCCUCCUUCAUCCCAGCUUGACUACAUCACUUUAAAAGAGUAAAACUCGCCUCAGGGACUUCCUGGGCCCCCAGGCCUGCCUGGAGAGACCGGACAAGAUGGUUUCGGAUUACCUGGACAGAAAGGAGAUCGAGGAAAUCCUGGACCUUUGGGACCUGCCGGGCCUCCUGGGAUCGGGUUGAUUGGAUCAAAGGGUGCGAUGGGUCAGAUGGGACCUGCAGGUCCUCCAGGGUUACCGGGAGAGGGUAUCCAGGGGCAGAAGGUA